UCUAAAACAGCUUUAUGGUUUUCCCAUGG
This 29-nucleotide small RNA is filed under the name Bombyx mori (domestic silkworm). Its description in RNAcentral is "ovarian small RNA-29388". Lineage: Eukaryota; Metazoa; Arthropoda; Insecta; Lepidoptera; Bombycidae. The record is from RNAcentral.